Long non-coding RNA from Musa acuminata AAA Group (dessert banana), 394 nucleotides. RefSeq lists it as uncharacterized. The record is from RefSeq and is a predicted model, not a curated record. The transcript is spliced from 3 exons. Lineage: Eukaryota; Viridiplantae; Streptophyta; Magnoliopsida; Zingiberales; Musaceae.
GCUGGAGCUGGAGCUACCCCUUCCUCCAAUGGGCAGGUUUAUUGUCAGAUGUAUGAAGAGCCUGCAACCCAACCCAGGUGACCAUUGUGACUUUAUGGCAUUGUAUACUGAAGCUAUUGGAAUCUCUAAAGUAGAUGUGAUAAAAACCAGGACAGUGGAGAUUAACCUCCUAUCCCCGUGUUCCAUCCACCCCGGAAAUCACCUGUCCUGGAAGCUCAUCUGACAGAAUUAGGGAUCCGUGGGGGGCUAGCAAGCAGGAGGCGGGAAUAACUGUGGAGGUGCAUGGACGGAUCUCAGCUCAAAAAAGUACUCCUCUUUAAUGGGCCUUCUUCUUCUCCACCACCCCCUACUAUGUCAUAUUCCUAGCAAAAGUGAGGGGGUAUAUGAGACUCGC